GGCGCCCUACGGGAGGCAGCAGUGGGGAAUAUUGGGCAAUGGGCGCAAGCCUGACCCAGCAACGCCGCGUGAAGGAAGAAGGCUUUCGGGUUGUAAACUUCUUUUCUCAGGGACGAAGAAAGUGACGGUACCUGAGGAAUAAGCCACGGCUAACUACGUGCCAGCAGCCGCGGUAAUACGUAGGUGGCAAGCGUUAUCCGGAUUUAUUGGGUGUAAAGGGCGUGUAGGCGGGAACGCAAGGCAGAUGUGAAAACUCA
RNAcentral lists this ribosomal RNA (257 nucleotides) under uncultured bacterium. RNAcentral's name for it is "partial 16S ribosomal RNA". It matches the Rfam family "Bacterial small subunit ribosomal RNA", at positions 333 to 604 of the family's 1533-position model. The record is from RNAcentral.